CCUACGGGCGGCAGCAGUGAGGAAUAUUGGUCAAUGGUCGGGAGACUGAACCAGCCAAGCCGCGUGAGGGAUGAAGGUACAGAGUAUCGUAAACCUCUUUUGUCAGGGAACAAAGGCGGGGACGUGUCCCCGGAUGAGUGUACCUGAAGAAAAGGCAUCGGCUAACUCCGUGCCAGCAGCCGCGGUAAUACGGAGGAUGCGAGCGUUAUCCGGAUUUAUUGGGUUUAAAGGGUGCGCAGGCGGUCUGUUAAGUCAGCGGUCAAAGCCCGGGGCUCAACCCCGGCCCGCCGUUGAAACUGGCAGUCGCGAGUUGGAGAGAAGUAUGCGGAAUGCGCGGUGUAGCGGUGAAAUGCAUAGAUAUCGCGCAGAACUCCGAUUGCGAAGGCAGCAUGCCGGCUCCACACUGACGCUGAGGCACGAAAGCGUGGGUAUCGAACAGGAUUAGAUAUCCUUGUAGUC
Molecule: ribosomal RNA, 459 nt
Filed under: uncultured bacterium
Lineage: Bacteria
Description: partial 16S ribosomal RNA
Rfam family: Bacterial small subunit ribosomal RNA
Source: RNAcentral